RNAcentral lists this ribosomal RNA (253 nucleotides) under uncultured bacterium. RNAcentral's name for it is "partial 16S ribosomal RNA". It matches the Rfam family "Bacterial small subunit ribosomal RNA", at positions 524 to 776 of the family's 1533-position model. The record is from RNAcentral.
UACAGAGGUGGCAAGCGUUGUUCGGAAUUACUGGGCGUAAAGGGCGCGUAGGCGGCCUUCUAAGUCAGACGUGAAAUCCCCCGGCUUAACCUGGGAACUGCGUCUGAUACUGGGAGGCUUGAGUAUGGGAGAGGGAUGUAGAAUUCCAGGUGUAGCGGUGAAAUGCGUAGAUAUCUGGAGGAAUACCGGUGGCGAAGGCGGCAUCCUGGACCAUAACUGACGCUGAGGAGCGAAAGCAUGGGGAGCGAACAGG